GACGAACGCUGGCGGCGUGCCUAAUACAUGCAAGUCGAACGCAGUGGGGACGGGUGAGUAACACGUGGGUAACCUCCCAGCAGAGGGGAUAACCCUUGGAAAAAGGUGCUAAACCGAUACGGAUGGAGGGACUCGCGGUGCAUUAGCUAGUUGGUGAGGUCACGGCCUACCAAGGCCACGAUGCAGAGCCGGCCUGAGAGGAUGAGCGGCCACAUGGGGACUGAGACACGGCCCAGACUCCUACGGGAGGCAGCAGUGGGUAAUCUUCGGCAAUGGACGCAAGUCUGACCUAGCAACGCCGAGUGAGUGAAGAAGGUUUUCGGGUCGUAAAGCUCUUUUGGUAGAGAAGCGGUAUCUAAACAGGAAGCCACGGCUAACUCCGUGCCAGCAGCCGCGGUAAUAC
This 403-nucleotide ribosomal RNA is filed under the name uncultured bacterium. Its description in RNAcentral is "partial 16S ribosomal RNA". It matches the Rfam family "Bacterial small subunit ribosomal RNA", at positions 28 to 526 of the family's 1533-position model. The record is from RNAcentral.